AUCUAUGGCCAUACCACCCUGAACAUGCCCCAUUUUGUCUGAUCUUGGAAGCUAAGCAGAGUCUGGCCCAGUUAGCACUUGGAUGGGAGAUGUGAAUA
Prolemur simus (greater bamboo lemur) is the source of this 98-nucleotide ribosomal RNA. NCBI's taxonomy places the organism in Eukaryota, Metazoa, Chordata, Mammalia, Primates, Lemuridae. The record is from Ensembl.